UACGUAGGCAGCGAGCGUUGUUCGGAAUUACUGGGCGUAAAGAGUGUGUAGGCGGUGCUCUAGGUUCGGUGUGAAAUCCCCUGGCUCAACUGGGAGGGUGCGCCGGAAACUGGAGUGCUUGAGCGUGGGAGAGGAAAGCGGAAUUCCUGGUGUAGCGGUGAAAUGCGUAGAUAUCAGGAGGAACACCUGUGGUGUAGACGGCUUUCUGGACCAUAGCUGACGCCGAGACACGAAAGCGUGGGUAGCAAACAGG
Molecule: ribosomal RNA, 253 nt
Filed under: uncultured bacterium
Lineage: Bacteria
Description: partial 16S ribosomal RNA
Rfam family: Bacterial small subunit ribosomal RNA
Source: RNAcentral